AUGCCAUCGUAUGUCACAAGCAGUAUGCCUCGACAUGAACAAUCGACGCAAUCGUGAUGUAAUCGAAAACUACCGCAAAAUCUUGCAUGGUAUUUUCUUUUUCUUCUUAUCCUUACCACGACUUUCUUUCCAUCUGCUUGAAUGAUAAAUCGGACAUGCUUGUAGAUCUUUUUUAUCCUUCCGAAAUAGAACACAAUCAUUCGGACAUGCAUGUAUCUUUUCACAG
RNAcentral lists this long non-coding RNA (226 nucleotides) under Elaeis guineensis (African oil palm). Its description in RNAcentral is "long non-coding RNA (EGUI_LNC025063)". Lineage: Eukaryota; Viridiplantae; Streptophyta; Magnoliopsida; Arecales; Arecaceae. The record is from RNAcentral.